RNAcentral lists this ribosomal RNA (422 nucleotides) under uncultured bacterium. RNAcentral's name for it is "bacterial SSU rRNA". It matches the Rfam family "Bacterial small subunit ribosomal RNA", at positions 358 to 773 of the family's 1533-position model. The record is from RNAcentral.
GGAAUCUUGCGCAAUGGGCGAAAGCCUGACGCAGCGACGCCGCGUGAGCGAUGAAGGCCUUCGGGUUGUAACGCUCUGUGGGGAGGGAAGAAUAAGGCUGAGCUAAUACCUCCGCUGAUGACGGUACCCCCUUCGACAGCACCGGCUAACUCUGUGCCAGCAGCCGCGGUACUACAGAGGGUGCAAACGUUGUUCGGAAUUACUGGGCGUAAAGCGCGUGUAGGCGGCUACGCAAGUCGGAUGUGAAAUCCCGCAGCUCAACUGUGGAAGUGCACUCGAUACUGCGAAGCUAGAGUCCUGGAGAGGAAGGUGGAAUGCUUGGUGUAGAGGUGAAAUUCGUAGAUAUCAAGCGGAACACCGGUGGCGAAGGCGGCCUUCUGGACAGUGACUGACGCUGAGACGCGAAAGCGUGGGGAGCAAAC